CAACCCCCGGGCCCCGUCCGGCGUUGGGGUCGCCGCGCACAGCGGCACCCCGAAGAACAGUGGCGGGAUCCCCGGCACCCCUGGCGUAGUAGCAUACCCCGCCUAGGGCGUGCAGGAGUCUCCCUGCCGUCAAGCGAAUAUCUUCUAA
This 148-nucleotide unclassified non-coding RNA is filed under the name uncultured Ascomycota. Its description in RNAcentral is "sequence contains ITS2". Lineage: Eukaryota; Fungi; Ascomycota. The record is from RNAcentral.